UCCAGCAGCCAUAUCACCCUGCAACUCACAACUGGUAACCCUCUGAAACUAUGCAGUUGUGAGCCUGGUCAGUACCUGUAUGGGAGACCUUCUGGGAAAAACUAAGGUUGCUGCUGGAA
This 119-nucleotide ribosomal RNA is filed under the name Lepisosteus oculatus (spotted gar). Lineage: Eukaryota; Metazoa; Chordata; Actinopteri; Semionotiformes; Lepisosteidae. The record is from RNAcentral.